Molecule: ribosomal RNA, 253 nt
Filed under: uncultured bacterium
Lineage: Bacteria
Description: partial 16S ribosomal RNA
Rfam family: Bacterial small subunit ribosomal RNA
Source: RNAcentral
UACGUAGGGGGCUAGCGUUGUCCGGAAUCAUUGGGCGUAAAGAGCGCGUAGGCGGCUGGAAUAGUCCGGUGUGAAAUCCACAGGCUUAACCUGUGAAUGCCGCUGGAAACUGUCUGGCUAGAGUCCGGAAGGGGCGAGUGGAAUUCCUGGUGUAGCGGUGAAAUGCGCAGAUAUCAGGAGGAACACCAAUGGCGAAGGCGGCUCUCUGGGACGGUACUGACGCUGAGACGCGAAAGCGUGGGGAGCGAACAGG